Long non-coding RNA from Fundulus heteroclitus (mummichog), 265 nucleotides. RefSeq lists it as uncharacterized. The record is from RefSeq and is a predicted model, not a curated record. Lineage: Eukaryota; Metazoa; Chordata; Actinopteri; Cyprinodontiformes; Fundulidae. The transcript has 2 exons.
UUCCUGCUUCUGUGUGCCACAUUUCCAUCUCCUGAUCUCUCUUGCUGUGGGGCAAUUUGUGUUGGAGCCUGCCUACUUGGGAGGAAACAAGGACUUUUUUUUGUGGGGAAGAGAUUUAUGUUUAUUUUUGAAUGGACAUUUACAAAAUACAAAAAACUGUGGAACAAACAUUUCUGUUGUUAGUGUUGUGUGUAAAACAAUUGUCAUUCAUUGUACUUAAGGGUCUACACCUUGAAGUGUAUGGUCCUUGUGUGACUGGUAAAAA